Molecule: ribosomal RNA, 493 nt
Filed under: uncultured bacterium
Lineage: Bacteria
Description: partial 16S ribosomal RNA
Rfam family: Bacterial small subunit ribosomal RNA
Source: RNAcentral
GAUUGAACGCUGGCGGCAUGCUUUACACAUGCAAGUCGAACGGUAACAGGCCUUCGGGUGCUGACGAGUGGCGAACGGGUGAGUAAUGCAUCGGAACGUACCCAGAGGUGGGGGAUAACGCAGCGAAAGCUGUGCUAAUACCGCAUGUGAUCUGAGGAUGAAAGCGGGGGACCGAGCAGCAAUGUUUGGCCUCGCGCCUUUGGAGCGGCCGAUGUCGGAUUAGCUAGUUGGUGGGGUAAAGGCCUACCAAGGCGACGAUCCGUAGCUGGUCUGAGAGGACGACCAGCCACACUGGGACUGAGACACGGCACAGACUCCUACGGGAGGCAGCAGUGGGGAAUUUUGGACAAUGGGCGCAAGCCUGAUCCAGCAAUGCCGCGUGCGGGAAGAAGGCCUUCGGGUUGUAAACCGCUUUUGGCAGGAACGAAACGGUGUCCGCUAAUACCGGGCGCUAAUGACGGUACCUGCAGAAUAAGCACCGGCUAACUACGUG